RNAcentral lists this ribosomal RNA (793 nucleotides) under uncultured Neocallimastigales. RNAcentral describes it as "partial large subunit ribosomal RNA". It matches the Rfam family "Eukaryotic large subunit ribosomal RNA", at positions 20 to 634 of the family's 3401-position model. The record is from RNAcentral. Lineage: Eukaryota; Fungi; Neocallimastigomycota; Neocallimastigomycetes; Neocallimastigales.
CAUCACUACGCUAGAUGCAUAUCAAUAAGCGGAGGAAAAGAAACUAACAAGGAUUCCCCUAGUAACGGCGAGUGAAGCGGGAAGAGCUCAAAUUUGAAAUCUUAAAAGGGUUUUCCCUUUUACGAAUUGUAGUUUAAAGAAGUGUUUUCUGUUGAAGGUUUUGGUACAAGUUCUUUGGAAUAGGACAUCAUAGAGGGUGAGAAUCCCGUAUUUGACCUUUACUUUUCAACUUUGUGAUACACUUUCAAAGAGUCGGAUUGUUUGGGAAUGCAGUCCAAAAUGGGUGGUAAAUUUCAUCUAAGGCUAAAUAUUGGCGAGAGACCGAUAGCGAACAAGUACCGUGAGGGAAAGAUGAAAAGAACUUUGAAAAGAGAGUUAAACUAGUACGUGAAAUUGUCAAAAGGGAAGCGUUUGGACACCAGUGUUGUUUUUCUGAAAAAUCAAUUAAAGAAUUGCUUUAUGCUAAGUGUUUUAGACUUUAAUCAGCUAUACAUGUUUAAUUCUUUGUAAGCUUUCUUGAAUGCACUUUUUCAGUUAACAAGUCAACAUCAAUUUCUUUUUGCUGUAAAAAAGCUUAGAGGAAGGUGGCUUGAGAUUCGUCUUCAAGUGUUUAUAGCCUCUUGCCCAUGCAGUAGGAGAGAUUGAGGUCUGCAGCAUAGAUCCUUCGGGGCUAGAUGCUUUUGUGCUAGAAGCUAGUAUUAUAUAGACAACUUGUUGAUUAUGUAAUAUAUUAGUUUCUACUCGCUAAAGUUAUUUUACCUACGCUUAGGAUGUUGAUCUACAGAGCGAGAGU